Molecule: ribosomal RNA, 468 nt
Filed under: uncultured bacterium
Lineage: Bacteria
Description: partial 16S ribosomal RNA
Rfam family: Bacterial small subunit ribosomal RNA
Source: RNAcentral
GACGAACGCUGGCGGCGUGCUUAACACAUGCAAGUCGAACGGAAAGGCCCUGCUUUUGUGGGGUGCUCGAGUGGCGAACGGGUGAGUAACACGUGAGUAACCUGCCCUUGACUUUGGGAUAACUUCAGGAAACUGGGGCUAAUACCGGAUAGGAGCUCCUGCUGCAUGGUGGGGGUUGGAAAGUUUCGGCGGUUGGGGAUGGACUCGCGGCUUAUCAGCUUGUUGGUGGGGUAGUGGCUUACCAAGGCUUUGACGGGUAGCCGGCCUGAGAGGGUGACCGGCCACAUUGGGACUGAGAUACGGCCCAGACUCCUACGGGCGGCAGCGGUGGGGAAUAUUGCACAAUAGGCGCAAGCCUGAUGCAGCAACGCCGCGUGCGGGAUGACGGCCUUCGAGUUGUAAACCGCUUUCGCCUGUGACGAAGCGUGAGUGACGGUAAUGGGUAAGGAAGCACCGGCUAACUACGUG